AAUCAACGCUGGCGGCGUGCCUAACACAUGCAAGUCGAACGCGAAAGUCCCGCAAGGGAUUAGUAGAGUGGCAAACGGGUGAGUAACACGUGGGUGACCUGCCUUCGAGUGGGGGAUAACGUCCCGAAAGGGACGCUAAUACCGCAUAACAUCCUGCCUUUGAAAAGGCGGUGAUCAAAGCUGGGGACCGCAAGGCCUAGCGCUGGAAGAGGGGCCCGCGCCUGAUUAGCUAGUUGGUGAGGAACGGCUCACCAAGGCGACGAUCAGUAUCCGGCCUGAGAGGGCGGACGGACACACUGGGACUGAGACACGGCCCAGACUCCUACGGGAGGCAGCAGUGGGGAAUUGUUCGCAAUGGGCGCAAGCCUGACGACGCAACGCCGCGUGGAGGAUGAAGACC
This 400-nucleotide ribosomal RNA is filed under the name uncultured bacterium. RNAcentral's name for it is "bacterial SSU rRNA". It matches the Rfam family "Bacterial small subunit ribosomal RNA", at positions 29 to 416 of the family's 1533-position model. The record is from RNAcentral.